GGUGAGUAACACGUGGAUAACCUACCUAUAAGACUGGGAUAACUUCGGGAAACCGGAGCUAAAUACCGGAUAAUAUAUUGAACCGCAUUGUUCAAUAGUGAAAGACGGUUUUGCUGUCACUUAUAGAUGGAUCCGCGCCGCAUUAGCUAGUUGGUAAGGUAACGGCUUACCAAGGCAACGAUGCGUAGCCGACCUGAGAGGGUGAUCGGCCACACUGGAACUGAGACACGGUCCAG
RNAcentral lists this ribosomal RNA (236 nucleotides) under uncultured Staphylococcus sp. RNAcentral describes it as "partial 16S ribosomal RNA". It matches the Rfam family "Bacterial small subunit ribosomal RNA", at positions 105 to 334 of the family's 1533-position model. Lineage: Bacteria; Bacillati; Bacillota; Bacilli; Caryophanales; Staphylococcaceae. The record is from RNAcentral.